Molecule: long non-coding RNA, 622 nt
Filed under: Macaca fascicularis (crab-eating macaque)
Lineage: Eukaryota; Metazoa; Chordata; Mammalia; Primates; Cercopithecidae
Description: lncRNA (ENSMFAG00000056412.1)
Source: RNAcentral
CCCAAGUUAAAACAUGUGAUGAAAUUCAGCUUUUACAAUCUAACCCCGAGCUACUUGAAACUAUUAAAGCCUCUCCGGUAUCUGACACAAGUCAGAAUUUCCACUGUUCCAGCUGAGCUUUUAUGAGGAGCAGACUUGAGAGAAACUGCCAAGUCCACCCCCACCCAGAGUCACAAGGUCCCUGUUGUGCCCUCCGUCUGCAGAUUUUCUGGAAUAUGCAGGGCACACGGCCAGCUGGACACCGGCUUCCCCCACUCGCUGCUGCUGAGAAGAGAGCAAUGGACUCCGAGUACCUUCCAGCCGGAAGUCGUCCUCCUCUUCCUCACUGAGCGUGUCUCUCAACACGUCGCCCACGAGCUCCUAGAAGACAAAGCAGAGGCAUUGAGCAGGGGUUAGGGGGAGUCCAGUGCUGAGACAUUAAAAGUGGCGCCUUGAAGACCCUGGGCUGAUUCUUCUGAUGGGAAUUCAGGUCAACUGAGGCAGAUCCUAUCGCACCUGAAAAGUUAAGCACCAAGGUGGGUCCCUCCUGCCCUUAACAUAAACGCACACGUAUCAGCACAACAUUCAGACCCCUGCAGGCUAUGGCUCCACCUGGUCUUCCAUCAUGCCUCCCAUAUUUCAC